AAUGGAUAACCGUGGUAAUUCUAGAGCUAAUACAUGCUGUAAGCCCGACUUUGCGGAAGGGCCGUAUUUAUUAUAUAACAGACCAAUAUUCCUCGUGUCUAUUGUGGUGAAUCAUAGUAACUAAUCGGAUCGCAUGGGAAUUUCCCGCGACAAACCAUUCAAGUUUCUGCCCCAUCAACUUUCCAUGGUAGUGUAUUGGACUACCAUGGCUUUUACGGGUAACGGAGGAUUAAGGUUCGAUUCCCGAAAGGGAGCCUGAAAAACGGCUACCACAUCUAAGGGAGGCAGCAGGCGCGUAAAUUACCCAAUCCUAAUUCAGGGAGGUAGUGACAAAAAAUAACGGAUCGGGGCUUUGCCCUGGGACUGAAAUGAGAUGAAUUUACACCCCUUUUACGAGAAUCAAUU
RNAcentral lists this ribosomal RNA (405 nucleotides) under uncultured picoeukaryote. Its description in RNAcentral is "SSU rRNA". It matches the Rfam family "Eukaryotic small subunit ribosomal RNA", at positions 138 to 549 of the family's 1831-position model. The record is from RNAcentral.